AUUAAGGUCCUCUGGAUUGUAAACUUCUUUUAUAUGGGACGAAAAAAGGUCUUUCUAGACCCCUUGACGGUACCAUAUGAAUAAGCACCGGCUAACUCCGUGCCAGCAGCCGCGGUAAUACGGAGGGUGCAAGCGUUAUCCGGAUUCACUGGGUUUAAAGGGUGCGUAGGCGGGCAGGUAAGUCAGUGGUGAAAUCCUGGAGCUCAACUCCAGAACUGCCAUUGAUACUAUCUAUCUUGAAUAUUGUGGAGGUAAGCGGAAUAUGUCAUGUAGCGGUGAAAUGCUUAGAUAUGACAUAGAACACCCAUUGCGAAGGCAGCUUACUACGCAUAUAUUGACGC
Molecule: ribosomal RNA, 341 nt
Filed under: uncultured Sediminibacterium sp.
Lineage: Bacteria; Pseudomonadati; Bacteroidota; Chitinophagia; Chitinophagales; Chitinophagaceae
Description: bacterial SSU rRNA
Rfam family: Bacterial small subunit ribosomal RNA
Source: RNAcentral